Capra hircus (goat) is the source of this 118-nucleotide small nuclear RNA. The record is from Ensembl. Lineage: Eukaryota; Metazoa; Chordata; Mammalia; Artiodactyla; Bovidae.
GUGUCUGAUGAGAGGGUGAGCACUUUCCUUGACAAAGAUGGAAGCGGCCCCAGGCCUGAUGGCACACACACGGGUAAUGCCUUGCCAUCUACGUUGUGGCAUCUAACCGCAGUUUUUA